GACGAACUCUGGCGGCGUGCUUAACACAUGCAAGUCGAACGGUAAGGCUCCAGCUUGCUGGGGUACACGAGUGGCGAACGGGUGAGUAACACGUGGGUGACCUGCCCUGCACUUCGGGAUAAGCCUGGGAAACUGGGUCUAAUACCGGAUAGGACUGCACCGUGAGGGUGUGGUGGAAAGUUUUUUCGGUGUGGGAUGGGCCCGCGGCCUAUCAGCUUGUUGGUGGGGUAAUGGCCUACCAAGGCGGCGACGGGUAGCCGGCCUGAGAGGGUGGACGGCCACAUUGGGACUGAGACACGGCCCAGACUCCUACGGGAGGCAGCAGUGGGGAAUAUUGCACAAUGGGCGGAAGCCUGAUGCAGCGACGCCGCGUGGGGGAUGACGGCCUUCGGGUUGUAAACUCCUUUCACCAUCGACGAAGGGUUUCUGACGGUAGAUGGAGAAGAAGCACCGGCUAACUACGUGUCAGCAGCCGCGGUAAUACGUAGGGUGCGAGCGUUGUCCGGAAUUACAGGGCGUAAAGAGCUCGUAGGUGGUUUGUCGCGUCGUCUGUGAAAUUCCGGGGCUUAACUCCGGGCGUGCAGGCGAUACGGGCAUAACUUGAGUACUGUAGGGGAGACUGGAAUUCCUGGUGUAGCGGUGAAAUGCGCAGAUAUCAGGAGGAACACCGGUGGCGAAGGCGGGUCUCUGGGCAGUAACUGACGCUGAGGAGCGAAAGCAUGGGGAGCGAACAGGAUUAGAUACCCUGGUAGUCCAUGCCGUAAACGGUGGGCGCUAGGUGUGGGUUUCCUUCCACGGGAUCCGUGCCGUAGCUAACGCAUUAAGCGCCCCGCCUGGGGAGUACGGCCGCAAGGCUAAAACUCAAAGGAAUUGACGGGGGCCCGCACAAGCGGCGGAGCAUGUGGAUUAAUUCGAUGCAACGCGAAGAACCUUACCUGGGCUUGACAUAUACAGGAUCGCGCCAGAGAUGGUGUUUCCCUUGUGGCUUGUAUACAGGUGGUGCAUGGUUGUCGUCAGCUCGUGUCGUGAGAUGUUGGGUUAAGUCCCGCAACGAGCGCAACCCUUGUCUUAUGUUGCCAGCACGUUGUGGUGGGGACUCGUAAGAAACUGCCGGGGUUAACUCGGAGGAAGGUGGGGAUGACGUCAAAUCAUCAUGCCCCUUAUGUCCAGGGCUUCACACAUGCUACAAUGGUCGGUACAGUGGGUUGCCAGUCCGUGAGGGCGAGCUAAUCCCGCAAAGCCGGUCUCAGUUCGGAUCGGGGUCUGCAACUCGACCCCGUGAAGUCGGAGUCGCUAGUAAUCGCAGAUCAGCAACGCUGCGGUGAAUACGUUCCCGGGCCU
RNAcentral lists this ribosomal RNA (1341 nucleotides) under uncultured bacterium. RNAcentral describes it as "partial 16S ribosomal RNA". It matches the Rfam family "Bacterial small subunit ribosomal RNA", at positions 28 to 1381 of the family's 1533-position model. The record is from RNAcentral.